GGUGGUAUAAAAAUUGAAGCAUAGUUUUCUGUCGAUAUGCACAUCUACAUAGUAUGUCAUUUUAAGCUAAAAAUGUUCAUGACAUUCUGUUGUGUGGUUUCAGACGAGUUGCGAUGACAUACUGUUCCAGUAGUAAAUUGAGGUAAAUACGUUCAAAAGGGCGUAACUCCUAGAAACUAGAGGCUCUAAAGAGCCUGUGUCCCUC
This 205-nucleotide long non-coding RNA is filed under the name Mytilus galloprovincialis (Mediterranean mussel). The record is from RNAcentral. Lineage: Eukaryota; Metazoa; Mollusca; Bivalvia; Mytilida; Mytilidae.